RNAcentral lists this transfer RNA (71 nucleotides) under Saccoglossus kowalevskii. RNAcentral describes it as "tRNA-Glu". It matches the Rfam family "tRNA". Rfam says of the family: Transfer RNA (tRNA) molecules are approximately 80 nucleotides in length. Their secondary structure includes four short double-helical elements and three loops (D, anti-codon, and T loops). Lineage: Eukaryota; Metazoa; Hemichordata; Enteropneusta; Harrimaniidae. The record is from RNAcentral.
UCCCAUAUGUCAUGUGGUUAGGAUUUGGCGCUUUCACCGCCAAGGCCCGGGUUCAAUUCCCGGUGUGGGAA